Non-coding RNA from Pelobates cultripes (western spadefoot toad), 157 nucleotides. The record is from the annotation of a GenBank genome assembly. Lineage: Eukaryota; Metazoa; Chordata; Amphibia; Anura; Pelobatidae.
GCUGACACAUUCCAGCCAAUCAGCAGCAGACCCUCCCUCCCAGACCCUCCCAACUCCUGGACAGCAUCCAUUUUGAAGCUGCAUUCUUAGUGAGCUGUCCAGGAGGUGGGAGGGUCUGGGAGGGAGGGUCUGCUGCUGAUUGGCUGGAAUGUGUCAG